AUAAAUAUUGUUGGGAUAGGUGCCCGAAAGGGCUUAAUAGGGAAGUCCGGUUAGAUGCCGGCGCGGUCCCGCCACUGUAAUAGGGAGUGAAUCCAAGGUAUACCACUGAGACGUAAUUGUCUUGGGAAGGUUUGGAUAAGCGAUGAUCUAGAGCCAGGAGAACUGCCUGUCUGUCAAUCACCGU
Molecule: non-coding RNA, 184 nt
Filed under: Sporomusa sphaeroides
Lineage: Bacteria; Bacillati; Bacillota; Negativicutes; Selenomonadales; Sporomusaceae
Also listed under: 1 other name
Source: RNAcentral